This 240-nucleotide unclassified non-coding RNA is filed under the name Hevea brasiliensis (rubber tree). Lineage: Eukaryota; Viridiplantae; Streptophyta; Magnoliopsida; Malpighiales; Euphorbiaceae. The record is from RNAcentral.
AUCUUUCCUUUGUUGUACACAAAACUACCAUCCACGGCCUUGAAAUUCAGAUAUUUAGUAACAUCUGUGUGGAUGAGAAUGCGAACCAAGGCACCGUUGGCCAUCAUGAACUUAGGGAUCAUAUCAACAUUAUAGUCUCUGCUUGCGCCCAAAUUUUCUGGGGGUUUGUCCCCACUCCUAAAUCGCUUCCAAAGCUGGUUUAGAUUGAGGGAAGUGGACUCUCCUCCAUAAUAGUCAUUU